AGAUCUAUGGUGUAAUGGAUAGCACACAAGGCUACGAACCUUGGGGUAAGGGUUCAACUCCUUUUAGAUCUG
RNAcentral lists this transfer RNA (72 nucleotides) under Dokdonia pacifica. It matches the Rfam family "tRNA". Rfam says of the family: Transfer RNA (tRNA) molecules are approximately 80 nucleotides in length. The record is from Rfam by way of RNAcentral. Lineage: Bacteria; Pseudomonadati; Bacteroidota; Flavobacteriia; Flavobacteriales; Flavobacteriaceae.